This 378-nucleotide ribosomal RNA is filed under the name uncultured bacterium. RNAcentral describes it as "bacterial SSU rRNA". It matches the Rfam family "Bacterial small subunit ribosomal RNA", at positions 521 to 898 of the family's 1533-position model. The record is from RNAcentral.
UAAUACGGAGGGUGCAAGCGUUAAUCGGAAUUACUGGGCGUAAAGCGCACGCAGGCGGUUUGUUAAGUCAGAUGUGAAAUCCCCGAGCUUAACUUGGGAACUGCAUUUGAAACUGGCAAGCUAGAGUCUUGUAGAGGGGGGUAGAAUUCCAGGUGUAGCGGUGAAAUGCGUAGAGAUCUGGAGGAAUACCGGUGGCGAAGGCGGCCCCCUGGACAAAGACUGACGCUCAGGUGCGAAAGCGUGGGGAGCAAACAGGAUUAGAUACCCUGGUAGUCCACGCUGUAAACGAUGUCGACUUGGAGGUUGUGCCCUUAAGGCGUGGCUUCCGGAGCUAACGCGUUAAGUCGACCGCCUGGGGAGUACGGCCGCAAGGUUAAA